Molecule: transfer RNA, 81 nt
Filed under: Canis lupus familiaris (dog)
Lineage: Eukaryota; Metazoa; Chordata; Mammalia; Carnivora; Canidae
Also listed under: 1 other name
Rfam family: tRNA
About the family: Transfer RNA (tRNA) molecules are approximately 80 nucleotides in length. Their secondary structure includes four short double-helical elements and three loops (D, anti-codon, and T loops). Further hydrogen bonds mediate the characteristic L-shaped molecular structure. tRNAs have two regions of fundamental functional importance: the anti-codon, which is responsible for specific mRNA codon recognition, and the 3' end, to which the tRNAs corresponding amino acid is attached (by aminoacyl-tRNA synthetases). tRNAs cope with the degeneracy of the genetic code in two manners: having more than one tRNA (with a specific anti-codon) for a particular amino acid; and 'wobble' base-pairing, i.e. permitting non-standard base-pairing at the 3rd anti-codon position.
Source: Rfam by way of RNAcentral
ACCUGGCUAGUUCAGUUGGUAGAGCAUGUGACUCUUGGUCUUAGGGUCUUAGGGUUGUGAGUUCAAGCCUCAUGUUGGGUG